This 19-nucleotide small nuclear RNA is filed under the name Arabidopsis thaliana (thale cress). Its description in RNAcentral is "snRNA_03856". Lineage: Eukaryota; Viridiplantae; Streptophyta; Magnoliopsida; Brassicales; Brassicaceae. The record is from RNAcentral.
AAAUGACUGGAAAUCAUGA